GCCGCGUGAACGAUGAAGGUCUUCGGAUCGUAAAGUCUGUUGUCAGGCAAGAACAAGUGCGUGCGAAUAGAGCGGCACCUUGACGGUACCUGACGAGGAAGCCCCGGCUAACUACGUGCCAGCAGCCGCGGUAAUACGUAGGGGGCAAGCGUUGUCCGGAAUUAUUGGGCGUAAAGCGCGCGCAGGCGGUUCCUUAAGUCUGAUGUGAAAGCCCACGGCUCAACCGUGGAGGGUCAUUGGAAACUGGGGAACUUGAGUGCAGAAGAGGAGAGUGGAAUUCCACGUGUAGCGGUGAAAUGCGUAGAUAUGUGGAGGAACACCAGUGGCGAAGGCGACUCUCUGGUCUGUAACUGACGCUGAGGCGCGAAAGCGUGGGGAGCAAACAGGAUUAGAUACCCUGGUAGUCCACGCCGUAAACGAUGAGUGCUAGGUGUUAGGGGGCUUCCACCCCUUAGUGCUGAAGUUAACGCAUUAAGCACUCCGGCUGCGGAGUACGGCCGCCAGGCUGAACCUCCACGGAAUUGACGGAGGCCCGCACAAGCGGUGGAGCAUGUGGGUUAUUCGAAGCAACGCGAAGAACCUUACCAGGUCUUGACAU
This 598-nucleotide ribosomal RNA is filed under the name uncultured bacterium. RNAcentral describes it as "bacterial SSU rRNA". It matches the Rfam family "Bacterial small subunit ribosomal RNA", at positions 396 to 987 of the family's 1533-position model. The record is from RNAcentral.